UGGGGAAUUUUGGACAAUGGGCGAAAGCCUGAUCCAGCAAUGCCGCGUGUGUGAAGAAGGCCUUCGGGUUGUAAAGCACUUUUGUCCGGAAAGAAAUCCUUGGCUCUAAUACAGUCGGGGGAUGACGGUACCGGAAGAAUAAGCACCGGCUAACUACGUGCCAGCAGCCGCGGUAAUACGUAGGGUGCAAGCGUUAAUCGGAAUUACUGGGCGUAAAGCGUGCGCAGGCGGUUUGCUAAGACCGAUGUGAAAUCCCCGGGCUCAACCUGGGAACUGCAUUGGUGACUGGCAGGCUAGAGUAUGGCAGAGGGGGGUAGAAUUCCACGUGUAGCAGUGAAAUGCGUAGAGAUGUGGAGGAAUACCGAUGGCGAAAGCAGCCCCCUGGGCCAAUACUGACGCUCAUGCACGAAAGCGUGGGGAGCAAACAGGAUUAGAUACCCUGGUAGUCCACGCCCUAAACGAUGUCAACUAGUUGUUGGGGAUUCAUUUCCUUAGUAACGUAGCUAACGCGUGAAGUUGACCGCCUGGGGAGUACGGUCGCAAGAUUAAAACUCAAAUGAAUUGACGGGGUCAUAGCUGUUUCCU
This 585-nucleotide ribosomal RNA is filed under the name uncultured bacterium. Its description in RNAcentral is "partial 16S ribosomal RNA". It matches the Rfam family "Bacterial small subunit ribosomal RNA", at positions 355 to 1375 of the family's 1533-position model. The record is from RNAcentral.